RNAcentral lists this unclassified non-coding RNA (391 nucleotides) under soil metagenome. Its description in RNAcentral is "partial contains 5.8S ribosomal RNA, internal transcribed spacer 2, and large subunit ribosomal RNA". The stretch from base 1 to 122 matches the Rfam family "5.8S ribosomal RNA", at positions 35 to 154 of the family's 154-position model. The record is from RNAcentral.
GAUGAAGAACGUAGCGAAAUGCGAUACUUGGUGUGAAUUGCAGAAUCCCGUGAACCAUCGAGUCUUUGAACGCAAGUUGCGCCCGAAGCCAUUAGGCCGAGGGCACGCCUGCCUGGGCGUCACACGUCGUUGCCCCCCCAUCUACUCCUUCGGGAUUGCGGGGGGCGGAUGAUGGCCUCUCGUGCGCCUCGUCGCGCGGUUGGCCUAAAUGCCAAGUCCUCGGCGACGCACGCCACGACAAUCGGUGGUUGCGAAACCUAGGUUGCCUGUCGUGUGCGGUCGUCGCGCAUCGAGGGCUCGAAAAAAUUGCCGGGCUUCGGCUCGACUUUCAACGCGACCCCAGGUCAGGCGGGGUUACCCGCUGAAUUUAAGCAUAUCAAUAAGCGGAGGA